CCCACUUCAUGAAAUUUUAAAUGAACAAUAUUAUAGCAAAAACAAAGAAAUUAACUUUCAUAGGCUUAUAAUUAAUAUUCAAACAAAAUUUUCAUCCAACAUAUGAAAGAAAUUAAAUUUCAUCAACCCAAAUACGAUCGCUCAUACACACAUACACAUAUAUAUGUGUGUGUGGAUUGAUUCAUAACAAAUAUUUAUUAGUCUUGCCAGCAGAGCAAGAUGGUGAUGCAUCGCCGGAGAAUGUAGAACUUUGCUCUUUGUUCCUUCAGUAGCAAACUGCAUCUCCGGCCAAACGAUCUGCACGGGCUUCUCACGUGCCUCUCGCAAAAGCUUCUCUUAUCUUUCUUCAUUUGCCCACAGCUAGCUCGCUCGCUCUACCCUCUGUGUGUAUGAUUGAGAGACUUUAUUUUAAUGUGGUCGAGAAAUAAAAAACGGGGAAAUGUACAAUUCUUUGUAUAGUAGAACUUUGAGUAAGGUUUUCCUGGGAUAUUAAUGUCUAUAUAUAUAUAAUGGUUUUAAUUUGUAUGAAAAGACAUAUUUACCCCUUUAUAAUUGAAGCCUCUAAUGUGGAAAGGGCUGAUAAAAAGUUAUAAUUAAUUUAAAUAUUUAAAUGGUUCUUAAAACUUAAAAUGAAAGUAUAAUUUCCCUUUUUGUAACUUAUUAAAAAUUAUCAUGGUUGUUUCAUAAAAGGAAUUUUAUUUAUAAAAAUUUAUGUAUAUUUAUAUUUUUGCAUGAUCUUUUUGUAAAGUUAAAUUUUAUUAAAAAAAAACUUGAAAUAAAAUUAUUUUACUAAACUAAAGUAUAUAAUUUAUAUACUCUAGAAGUAUUUCCAAUAAGUCCAACAGGAAAAAUGCCUAAAUAUUAUAGAAUGUUUCAGAAAAUUAAUAACUUAAUUUCAGAACCUGAUUACCAUAAUUUAUAAACCACCAAAAUAAAUUCAUAACAAACUGCAUCUCCGGCCAAACGAUCUGCACGGCCUUCUCCUUCACUAGCAAACUGCAUCUCCGGCCAAACGAUCUGCACGGCCUUCUCACGUGCCUCUCGCAAAAGCUUCUCUUAUCUUUCUUCAUUUGCCCGCUGCUAGCUAGCUCGCUCGCUCUACCCUCCUGUGUGUAUAAUUGAGAGGCUUUAUUUUAAUGUGGUCGAGAAAUAAAAUAAAGAGCAAUGUCCAAUUCUUUAUAGAAAAUUGUUAAAUUCACAAUAUUUUCUAUUGUGGAUUUAACAAUUUCCUUCUUUA
Molecule: long non-coding RNA, 1237 nt
Filed under: Panax ginseng (ginseng)
Lineage: Eukaryota; Viridiplantae; Streptophyta; Magnoliopsida; Apiales; Araliaceae
Description: long non-coding RNA (PGIN_LNC005361)
Source: RNAcentral